AGAGAAGGCCGGACGGUCGCCGGCCGCGGCAACGCGGCGGGAGGAAAGUCCGGGCUCCGCAGGGCAGGGUGCUGGGUAACGCCCAGGGGGGGGAAACCCCACGGACCAGUGCCACAGAAAGCAGACCGCCGCCGAGAGGCGGUAAGGGUGAAACGGUGAGGUAAGAGCUCACCAGCGGCGCGGGUGACCGCGCCGGCUCGGCAAACCCCACCCGGAGCAAGGUCGAAUAGGAGCGCCACGAGGUGGCCCGCCUCGCGCUCGGGUCAGGCCGCUGGAGAUGCCGGGUAACCGGCGUCCUAGAGAAAUGACCGUCGCCCCGGGCCCACUGCUCGGGGCACAGAACCCGGCUUACAGGCCUUCUCUGGCG
Molecule: RNase P RNA, 367 nt
Filed under: Candidatus Rokuibacteriota bacterium
Lineage: Bacteria; Candidatus Rokuibacteriota
Description: Candidatus Rokubacteria bacterium (sediment metagenome) RNase P RNA component class A
Rfam family: Bacterial RNase P class A
About the family: Ribonuclease P (RNase P) is a ubiquitous endoribonuclease, found in archaea, bacteria and eukarya as well as chloroplasts and mitochondria.
Source: RNAcentral